Molecule: long non-coding RNA, 2495 nt
Filed under: Marmota monax (woodchuck)
Lineage: Eukaryota; Metazoa; Chordata; Mammalia; Rodentia; Sciuridae
Source: RNAcentral
GGUAAGUUUUGCUUUUUGUUUUUGACUCGAUAUAGACUGAAGGGGUGAGAAUAUUUUAAACAGAAAUGAAUAAUUUAUCUCAGAAACUAUUAAAGUUGUGUUGUAAAGCUCACAGCGAGCUCCGUGACCAGCAGCUGCAGCAUCUCAACGAGGAGAUUAUUUCAUUUAACUUGAGGGAGAGGUGUGCCAGGGAGGUGGCUGAGGUAUUCAUAAAGCAUCGCGUGUCUUCUGGGCUCUCUCCUCUUUGGAGAGAGGGCACAGCAACUUUGCCCUUCGUGGACAGAGAUCUAUGCAGUGUGUUUGAGCAAGUAGAGUGACAGACCCUGGCUGUCCCUGCAAUUGAGAGUCUGGACCUUAUUUCAGGUGAGAGACAGUGUCCUCAAGAGAUAGGGCUUCUGUUGAAGCAGGUCGUGCUGCAUGUCCUAACCCGUGCUCUACACGACAGGGGCUCUCUGGGACAUUGAGUUGGUGUGAUGCAGAUGAGGUUGGUGGUCAGAUGUCCUUGGGAAACCAAGUUGAGCGAGUCUCUUUUCUGAGUGGAGAAGGCGUGUAGUGCAUGGUGAACCCCAAGGCCAUCUGGGAGUCGGGGCAUUUCCUGCACUUGGCAUGACCAGGAGGCUCUAUUUUGCAUGUUAACUCCCAGAGCUGAUGUCCCGCAGAGGGUGCUUCGGUUAGGGUGAGGCAGCCCCUCCAGGGUCUGCAAGGAUCAACCCCCUUGGAUCCUUGUUUUUGCUUUUGCCCCCCCUCCAAAAACAAACAAGCAAAACCAAAAUGGCGCCAGUCUCCAUCUGGUUUCCAGCCUCAGAGGAUUAAAUGUUGACUUCAGUGCAAGGCGUCUAAUCCUGGACACCCCCACGGACAGCUAGCACCACCCCCAGAGUGGAGGGAAGUCUUGGGUGGUGUGGACGGAAGGGCAGGAGUGGGGCAGAGUGCAUAAGGCCACUGAGGGCCCCGCUGCCCUGCCUCCAGUCUCUCCAUGGGAACAGACGACCCUGGCGGAGGCUUCUGCAAGUCCACAGCCUGCAACUGUUCACUGUGUGCUUUUUUCCCUGGUUUUCAUGGAAAUCCACACUGGUUUCCGUGUUGGCACCCUCUGUCUCCUUCCUGUGCGAGCUUGCCCAGUGCCGUGUGCAGAUGGCCUUUCAUUGGCUUUUGUCUCUUAAGUGAGAUAGAUUGUCCUUCAGGGGACGAGGCGUCAUGUCUGAAAUGAGAAAUUCUUUCUCUGCGUUCUGUUUUGUGUUCACGUUUUGUUUUCUAAUGACAUCAAAUUUUUUUUAACAAAAAUUGAUGCAACCAUUUUGCAGAAUGUAGAACGUAUUCUGUGUCCUUGGCUAAAGAAAUCCAUGGGUGAAGUGCACCUGGGAAACAAAAGUCAGUGUUUCCUAAAGACAAAAAAAAAUGUUUUAAGAUGCUUCCUAUUGCAUGCAUAGCUGGAGAAAAGUGCGGGCCGGUGUCCCCAGCUCCAGGCCACUCUUCAAAGGGGCUGCUGUGCUUUAAGACCAAGGUGUCAUCAAGGCUGUAUUUACGAGGACCUUCCUGCUUACCUGUCCCUUUGCUUGGAGAACUUGAGAUUUUGUCCGCCGUGGGUUUGGUGCCUGCAGCCUCUCCAGACCCCCCACUGCCCUCCCCAGCUGGUCUGGGAAGAAGGGCAGCCCAACAACUGGACUGUCUUAGAGGAGACCGCCCCCUCCCUGCCCAGUGGGUGAGCCUCGCCUCCCCUCCUGCUGGUUCAGGGCAAUGGGAACUUUAGCAGAACCAGGCCUCCCAGAAACAGGCGAGCAAGCACGUGGUAUAAUCCACGCUAUAGAAAACUCGAGAAAAAGAGUGUAAGGCCCUAGCACACUUAGAGUGCAAGGGACCACGAUUAUAAAAGUCCCUCUUCUAACCUGGCAAAAAGCAGAGGGUCUCGGCUAACUUUCUUAGACAGUUCUUCCCUGCGUGUGUGCAUGAGCGCACACAUACACACACACACACACACACACACGCUGAGCUGAGCUGUCCUGCCCUGCCCUGUGCAAUCCUGGUGACCAGGUCCCAUCCUCCCCCACCUUUAUGUCAGCAGGACUGACCACACUGCUUCCCUGAACCCCACCACCAGAGACCCCCCAGCCUUUCCCAGCACAACCAACAGGACCAGCUUGACCCUUGGCUGUGAACAGGCGGAUUUCAGUCUCUAUUCUUUGUUAGGUACAGAAGGAGCUGCCUGUAUUUUUUUAUGAGCAUGCUCAGUGUGGCAUAUGGACACAUAAUUUAACAUCUUGGUGGGGUGUGAUUUUUUCCUUUUACAUACCUGUAUGCAGUAGAGGGCCUGUUGUAGAAAACGCUCCCUGUGUCUUCCUGUACUGUUAAAGAAAGCUGAAUUCCACAUUGCCAACAAAAGCGUGAAAUGUUCAUGAACCUUCCUCCAGGAAAAGCCAUUCAAGCCUGAUUAUUUUUCUAAGUAACUUCAAUUAAAUUGGAGAAAGAAAGAAAAAAGUCUUUCUGUGUAUGGUUUG